AAGUCGUAACAAGGUUUCCGUAGGUGACCUGCGGAAGGAUCAUUAACACGUAUCCAAACGUUAAACCCCCCUGUGAACCUUCACCUGUACUCGUACGUCCGUUAGAAAAAGCAGCAAUCCCUGGUAAAUCAUCGCCGAACAGUUUUCGAUUCAGGGACGUCUGCAAGGAGCGUGCAUGUUGUGCGAAGCAAGUGGCCUGGCAUCUGUCUGAAAGUGUCAUUACCUGUGUAAGGAUGACGCAGUCACGAUCGUUGGAGGCCCACAGGGUCGCUGGGCGCAAGCCCCCCUAGAACAAACCCCCUGCCAAUCGCGGCCGCGAUAAUACGCAGUCGACCAAAAACCGAACAACUGUUAACAAUGGAUAUCUUGGUUCUC
RNAcentral lists this unclassified non-coding RNA (375 nucleotides) under fungal sp. Its description in RNAcentral is "partial internal transcribed spacer region". The stretch from base 1 to 45 matches the Rfam family "Eukaryotic small subunit ribosomal RNA", at positions 1786 to 1831 of the family's 1831-position model. The record is from RNAcentral. Lineage: Eukaryota; Fungi.